CAGUAGCCGCGGGAAUACGAAGAGGGCUAGCGUUGCUCGGAAUUACUGGGCGUAAAGGGAGCGUAGGCGGACUGUUUAGUCAGAGGUGAAAGCCCAGGGCUCAACCUUGGAAUUGCCUUUGAUACUGGCAGUCUUGAGUACGGAAGAGGUAUGUGGAACUCCGAGUGUAGAGGUGAAAUUCGUAGAUAUUCGGAAGUACACCAGUGGCGAAGGCGACAUACUGGUCCGUUACUGACGCUGAGGCUCGAAAGCGUGGGGAGCAAACAGGAUUAGAUACCCCAGUAGUCCCUGUCUCUUAUAC
Molecule: ribosomal RNA, 301 nt
Filed under: uncultured bacterium
Lineage: Bacteria
Description: partial 16S ribosomal RNA
Rfam family: Bacterial small subunit ribosomal RNA
Source: RNAcentral